CAGCAGUGGGGAAUUUUGCGCAAUGGNNNAAAGCCUGACGCAGCAACGCCGCGUGAGUGAUGAAGGCUUUCGGGUCGUAAAGCUCUGUCAGAGGGGAAGAAACUAUUGUGGUNNNAUAGGUCGCGGUACUGACGGUACCCUCAAAGGAAGCACCGGCUAACUCCGUGCCAGCAGCCGCGGUAAUACGGAGGGUGCAAGCGUUGUUCGGAAUUAUUGGGCGUAAAGCGCGUGUAGGCGGUCUGUUAAGUCUGAUGUGAAAGCCCCGGGCUCAACCCGGGAAGUGCAUUGGAUACUGGCAGACUUGAGUACGGGAGAGGGAAGUGGAAUUCCGAGUGUAGGGGUGAAAUCCGUAGAUAUUCGGAGGAACACCGGUGGCGAAGGCGGCUUCCUGGACCGAUACUGACGCUGAGACGCGAAAGCGUGGGGAGCAAACAGGAUUAGAUACCCUGGUAGUCCACGCCGUAAACGAUGGGUACUAGGUGUCGCGG
This 488-nucleotide ribosomal RNA is filed under the name uncultured bacterium. RNAcentral's name for it is "bacterial SSU rRNA". It matches the Rfam family "Bacterial small subunit ribosomal RNA", at positions 349 to 828 of the family's 1533-position model. The record is from RNAcentral.